AGAACGAACGCUGGCGGCAUGCCUAACACAUGCAAGUCGAACGCUCACCGGGCUUCGGUUCGGUGGGAGUGGCGCACGGGUGAGUAGCGCGUGGGAACCUGCCCUGUUGUGGGGGAUAACCGAGGGAAACUUCGGCUAAUACCGCAUGCGCCCGGGGAAACCCGGGAAAGAUUUAUCGCAGCAGGAGGGGCCCGCGUCGGAUUAGGUAGUUGGUAGGGUAACGGCCUACCAAGCCUGUGAUCCGUAGCUGGUCUGAGAGGAUGAUCAGCCACACUGGGACUGAAACACGGCCCAGACUCCUACGGGAGGCAGCAGUGGGGAAUAUUGGACAAUGGGCGCAAGCCUGAUCCAGCAAUGCCGCGUGAGUGAUGAAGGCCUUAGGGUUGUAAAGCUCUUUCGCCCGCGACGAUGAUGACGGUAGCGGGAGAAGAAGCCCCGGCUAACUUCGUGCCAGCAGCCGC
Molecule: ribosomal RNA, 461 nt
Filed under: uncultured bacterium
Lineage: Bacteria
Description: SSU rRNA
Rfam family: Bacterial small subunit ribosomal RNA
Source: RNAcentral